AGCUCCACUAGCAUAUGUUGAAGUUGCUGCAGUUAAAACGCUCGUAGUUGUGGUUUUUUGGGUGGGGUGUGUUGUGCGUGAAAGCGUAUGAUGCGUCCUGCUCAUUAUCCUUUGGCAACUGUGUUAACUCACUGUUGCCUUGUAAACCUUGAAAAAAUAUUAACGCUUAAAGUUGGUCUUACGACCAAGUUCUAUUUGCAUGGGAUUUUGGAAUAAGAGCGGCACGGUAAAACGUGUUGCUAAUGACAUUUGAGGAUGAAAGAGGAAGUUAAUACUCGAACGUCAGAGGUGAAAUUCUUGGAUUGUACGAUGAUUAACUAAUGCGAAGGCAUUCUUCAAUUGCUUUCCUG
This 350-nucleotide ribosomal RNA is filed under the name uncultured eukaryote. RNAcentral's name for it is "SSU rRNA". It matches the Rfam family "Eukaryotic small subunit ribosomal RNA", at positions 587 to 972 of the family's 1831-position model. The record is from RNAcentral.